CAAAUGCCCGUCUUCUAAUGGAAGA
This 25-nucleotide unclassified non-coding RNA is filed under the name Mus musculus (house mouse). RNAcentral's name for it is "oocyte_clustered_small_RNA5786". The record is from RNAcentral. Lineage: Eukaryota; Metazoa; Chordata; Mammalia; Rodentia; Muridae.